UUCCAGACUCCUACGGGAGGCAGCAGUGGGGAAUAUUGCACAAUGGGGGAAACCCUGAUGCAGCGACGCCGCGUGAAGGAAGAAGUAUUUCGGUAUGUAAACUUCUAUCAGCAGGGAAGAAAAUGACGGUACCUGACUAAGAAGCCCCGGCUAACUACGUGCCAGCAGCCGCGGUAAUACGUAGGGGGCAAGCGUUAUCCGGAUUUACUGGGUGUAAAGGGAGCGUAGGCGGUUUAGCAAGUCUGAUGUGAAAGGCCGGGGCCCAACCCCGGGACUGCAUUGGAAACUGCGAGGCUGGAGUGUCGGAGAGGCAGGCGGAAUUCCUAGUGUAGCGGUGAAAUGCGUAGAUAUUAGGAGGAACACCAGUGGCGAAGGCGGCCUGCUGGACGAUGACUGACGCUGAGGCUCGAAAGCGUGGGGAGCAAACAGGAUUAGAUACCCGAGUAA
RNAcentral lists this ribosomal RNA (447 nucleotides) under uncultured bacterium. RNAcentral's name for it is "bacterial SSU rRNA". It matches the Rfam family "Bacterial small subunit ribosomal RNA", at positions 329 to 793 of the family's 1533-position model. The record is from RNAcentral.